CAGAGUUGCAAAACUCCCACAAACCAUCGCGAACGUUACCACACAUAAGUUGCUUCGGCGCUGCGUCCGAGCCCUCCCCGGGUCACACCGGGGCCCGCCGCGGAGCUGCCGCCGUCCUAACAAACUCUUAUCUUAUAAGUCUACUCUGAGUACUACUUUAAUAAGUCA
RNAcentral lists this unclassified non-coding RNA (168 nucleotides) under soil metagenome. Its description in RNAcentral is "partial internal transcribed spacer 1". The record is from RNAcentral.